Molecule: ribosomal RNA, 347 nt
Filed under: Iphiclus sp. BYU CO152
Lineage: Eukaryota; Metazoa; Arthropoda; Insecta; Coleoptera; Erotylidae
Description: partial 12S ribosomal RNA
Source: RNAcentral
AAAAAUKUAAAAUUUAAAUUCUAAGUUAUUAAUAGUUAUGAUCUUUAAAAUUAAAAAAUUUGGCGGUAUUUUAGUCUUUUCAGAGGAACCUGUUCUAUAAUUGAUUAUCCACGAUUAAUUAAACUUUUUUUAUUAGCUUGUAUAUCGUCGUUAUAAAAUAUUUUAAGAGAAAUUAAAUAUUUAAGAUUUUUUUAAAAAAUUAAAUCAGAUCAAGAUGCAGUUUAUAGAAAAGUAGAAAUGGGUUACAUUAUAUUUAUAUUUGGAAUAAAUAAUGAAAUAAUUUAAGAAAUUGGAUUUGAAAGUAAUUUUUUUUAAUUUAAAAAAAUGAUUUUAGCUCUAAAAUAUGU